AUUAGGUCCAUAACUCUUUCAUUACUUGUAAAUACUCCUAUUAACUAUUAGUCAAUCUUUUUAUCAAUUCUUGAUCAAUUUGUCUUAAAAUUUAUUCUCGUAUAAGCAUAGUGAGAUCAACGCGAACCACAAUUUUUCCUACACUCGUGAAAUCCCAAAAUAUAAAAAUCUUUAUCUUAGAUCCUCUGAUGUAUCAUUAUUCCUAUUUGCAUCAAAUUUUCUAACAAUUAUCCUUAAUUUGUCAAACCUCUA
This 252-nucleotide long non-coding RNA is filed under the name Jatropha curcas. RNAcentral describes it as "long non-coding RNA (JCUR_LNC003158)". Lineage: Eukaryota; Viridiplantae; Streptophyta; Magnoliopsida; Malpighiales; Euphorbiaceae. The record is from RNAcentral.